AUUGAACGCUGGCGGCAUGCUUUACACAUGCAAGUCGAACGGCAGCGCGGGCUUCGGCCUGGCGGCGAGUGGCGAACGGGUGAGUAAUGCAUCGGAACGUGCCCAGUAGUGGGGGAUAGCCCGGCGAAAGCCGGAUUAAUACCGCAUACGACCUGAGGGUGAAAGCGGGGGACCGAAAGGCCUCGCGCUAUUGGAGCGGCCGAUGUCGGAUUAGCUAGUUGGUGGGGUAAAGGCUUACCAAGGCGACGAUCCGUAGCUGGUCUGAGAGGACGACCAGCCACACUGGGACUGAGACACGGCCCAGACUCCUACGGGAGGCAGCAGUGGGGAAUUUUGGACAAUGGGGGCAACCCUGAGCCAGCCAGGCCGCGUGCGGGAAGAAGGCCUUCGGGUUGUAAACCGCUUUUGUUCGGGAAGAAAUCCUCUGGGCUAAUACCCCGGGGGGAUGACGGUACCGGAAGAAUAAGCACCGGCUAACUACGU
RNAcentral lists this ribosomal RNA (483 nucleotides) under uncultured bacterium. Its description in RNAcentral is "partial 16S ribosomal RNA". It matches the Rfam family "Bacterial small subunit ribosomal RNA", at positions 28 to 506 of the family's 1533-position model. The record is from RNAcentral.